RNAcentral lists this ribosomal RNA (410 nucleotides) under uncultured microorganism. Its description in RNAcentral is "bacterial SSU rRNA". It matches the Rfam family "Bacterial small subunit ribosomal RNA", at positions 509 to 917 of the family's 1533-position model. The record is from RNAcentral.
CAGCAGCCGCGGUAAUACGUAGGGUGCGAGCGUUAAUCGGAUUUACUGGGCGUAAAGCGUGCGCAGGCGGCCCGUUAAGACAGGUGUGAAAUCCCUGGGCUCAACCUAGGAAUUGCGCUUGUGACUGGCGGGCUCGAGUACGGUAGAGGGGGGUGGAAUUCCUGGUGUAGCAGUGAAAUGCGUAGAGAUCAGGAGGAACACCGAUGGCGAAGGCAGCCCCCUGGGCCUGUACUGACGCUCAUGCACGAAAGCGUGGGGAGCAAACAGGAUUAGAUACCCUGGUAGUCCACGCCCUAAACGAUGGGUACUAGCCGUUUGGUGCGCGAGAGCACUGAGUGGCGAAGCUAACGCGUGAAGUACCCCGCCUGGGGAGUACGGCCGCAAGGUUGAAACUUAAAGGAAUUGGCGGG